RNAcentral lists this long non-coding RNA (561 nucleotides) under Eptatretus burgeri (inshore hagfish). RNAcentral describes it as "lncRNA (ENSEBUG00000017156.1)". Lineage: Eukaryota; Metazoa; Chordata; Myxini; Myxiniformes; Myxinidae. The record is from RNAcentral.
GCCACUGAACAAUGAGGUGUUGUUGGUUCACGUAAAGCUUGUUUACAUUCCAGAAUUUUUCCCAUUUGGUGAUGUCAAGACGGAAGGAGGCUUUGAAAAAAAAGGCCCUUCCAAACAUCGACAUGAGAAUCAAAGGAAAGGCUUUAAACAUUGAUGAGGACAUCAAGGAAAACCAUGUCAAGCAUGCUCUCACCAAAGGCUGUGUGAGGGAGAAAAAUUCAGCGGUUGUAAAGGAUGUGGAAGCAUCCAGAAAUGAAUUGGUUUCUAAACAGCUGUUGCAAAAGUCUGGCAUCUCGAAGGUGAACUUGGAUUCAAGUGACAUGACCUGCAGUAAAGGGAGACAGGUAUUCCUUUUAUUAUUUGCUCUGAAAGUGAAGAAAAUUGUUUUCUCUUUGCACUCUUGGAGAUAUCUUCAUGUAUUAUAGGAUGAACUUCUUCUGCCUUGUGAGGCCCCUUAUUGGGAUUUGCACAUUACACUUGUGGAGAGAAUAAUUAUUUUGGAUAGUUUAUUGGAAAAUGAAUUUGUCAGACUAAACUGUUUGUUCUUAACUUGUAUUCUGU